CCCUUCAGAUACAGGCACCUAAACUAUAUGGAAGCAAUCAACAACAUGGAAAAUUGAUGUAAGAGCCGAACAGUCUUAUACUUCAAUGAAACUUCUACAUGUAUGUAAGUGAUCCCUCAAGAAAAUGUUUAGAAAAAAAAGUCAGAGAAGGUCAAGUGACAUAGCACCUAUGAAUUCCCUUUCUGUAACAACUCAUACCAAGUAAACAAUUUUUCCCAGCAAUUCUCGUUCCGCAUUUACCUCAGGAAAAUACUUCUAAUUCUGCAAUAAGUUACCCACCUCCAGAUUUUAGCAUGUUACUCAACCUGUAAUAUAACAAAAAGUAAUCAUCAAUUUCAUUAGGCUCUUAAAAAAAAGCUUAUCAAGCAAAAAGGUGCAGUGUAAAACUAUUUGACUCCACAUCUACAAGUACUGCUGCUCAUGUCACUGGAGUGCUUCAAGUUAGCAGCUACAGUAAAAAUAAUGCCGAGAUAGGAAUCAUUAGAAAGAAAAGAUUGAUUCCAUACACCUCCUUUUUUCCUAAAGAAUAUCCAUCAUAUAAUAGAAGUGCAUAUUUUCUUAAGUGGUUCAUUGAGACUCGUUUGCUGUUUUUUAUGAACGCUGGUCUUUGUAAUCUUGAUGCAAUACUAGGAACUUCCAACUGCCAAGCUCCAAACACGAAGAUUAAAAGGACUUCAACAGCGACUUCAUACUUUUUUAAGCUAUAUUACCCAUCUGAUAAGAGCAACUAAAACCAACAGUGUAAGCAUAUAUUUCAUCUAAUAUCUUCUUUCAGUAGAAAAUGGGGCAUGUGUAAACUUUUCGGAGAGUAAGUCUUGAAUAUUACUACAAUUGAGAUCCCUACUGACAAGGUUUUGAUAGAAACUUAAUCCCUACUGCUACAGAGCCGCAUAUUCUAAUAGUGAAAAUGGAUUAAGGUAAAAGAGGGUCUAUGUCAUUCAUCCUCAUUUUAUUCUAGGGCAACAAUCUAAGAGUAAUGGGUAAAAACCUAAUUGGUAGCAUUAUUGAACUUGCAAAUGCCAACAUCAAACACCAAAAUACACUAGACGGUAACUUAAUUUCAGACCACACAUUCGUUUAAUAUAUAUUUCUUUCAAACAAACUUCUAAAGAACCAUUCAACAAAUACCAAGCCAUAUUUGUUGAAAUAAAUGAUUAGACAAACUUGAGGUAGUAAUUACAGAUACUUCUACUCUAUCCAUCAACAAUCAUCAUUAUUCUAAAUGAACUAGUAUCUUUUGAAUGUGCACCAACAAAUCUUGUCGAGAACACAAUAUAGAGUUUUCAAAUUCAGUGGCAUAUAUCAAGUGCAAAGACAACCACAUAACAAGCAUAUAGUUCAGUACGAAAUUUUCUAUUAAUAAUUUAUAGAAAAUGUUAAAGUUUUAAAAACUUUAAGCAUGCUAGUUCUAAUUAUUCACUCAAAUAAUCAUGUUUCACACUUACAAAAACAUAAGCUCUUACCAAAG
This 1468-nucleotide long non-coding RNA is filed under the name Carica papaya (papaya). Its description in RNAcentral is "long non-coding RNA (CPAP_LNC013887)". The record is from RNAcentral. Lineage: Eukaryota; Viridiplantae; Streptophyta; Magnoliopsida; Brassicales; Caricaceae.